CGAACGGGUGAGUAACGCGCGAGGAACCUGCCUCAAAGAGGGGGACAACAGUUGGAAACGACUGCUAAUACCGCAUAAGCCCACGGCUCGGCAUCGAGCAGAGGGAAAAGGAGCAAUCCGCUUUGAGAUGGCCUCGCGUCCGAUUAGCUAGUUGGUGAGGUAACGGCCCACCAAGGCGACGAUCGGUAGCCGGACUGGGAGGUUGAACGGCCACAUUGGGACUGAGACACGGCCCAG
This 237-nucleotide ribosomal RNA is filed under the name uncultured bacterium. RNAcentral describes it as "partial 16S ribosomal RNA". It matches the Rfam family "Bacterial small subunit ribosomal RNA", at positions 99 to 334 of the family's 1533-position model. The record is from RNAcentral.